GACGAACGCUGGCGGCGUGCUUAACACAUGCAAGUCGAACGGAAAGGCCCUGCUUUUGUGGGGUGCUCGAGUGGCGAACGGGUGAGUAACACGUGAGUAACCUGCCCUUGACUUUGGGAUAACUUCAGGAAACUGGGGCUAAUACCGGAUAGGAGCUCCUGCUGCAUGGUGGGGGUUGGAAAGUUUCGGCGGUUGGGGAUGGACUCGCGGCUUAUCAGCUUGUUGGUGGGGUAGUGGCUUACCAAGGCUUUGACGGGUAGCCGGCCUGAGAGGGUGACCGGCCACAUUGGAACGAGGAUACGGCCCAGACUCCUACGGGGGGCAGCGGUGGGAAUAUUGCACAAUGGGCGGAAGCCUGAUGCAGCAACGCCGCGUGCGGGAUGACGGCCUUCGGGCUGUAAACCGCUUUCGCCUGUGACGAAGCGUGAGUGACGGUAAUGGGUAAAGAAGCACCGGCUAACUACGUG
RNAcentral lists this ribosomal RNA (467 nucleotides) under uncultured bacterium. RNAcentral's name for it is "partial 16S ribosomal RNA". It matches the Rfam family "Bacterial small subunit ribosomal RNA", at positions 28 to 507 of the family's 1533-position model. The record is from RNAcentral.